This is a long non-coding RNA of Astatotilapia calliptera (eastern happy), 599 nucleotides long. Lineage: Eukaryota; Metazoa; Chordata; Actinopteri; Cichliformes; Cichlidae. The record is from Ensembl.
AAAGAAGUGAAAAGAGCCAGCACUCACACACCUGCCACUGCUGACUCAAUUGAUUCCCCUGAGGUACUUGUUGCUGCCUUCUCCCUGCUGAGUUGAGCUCAGUGCUUCAUUGUAUGGAGUGACACGACUGAGGGAGCAGUGGGUCAUCAGGUUGGAGCAGAGGAAUCAACACCUGCAGAGUUUCUUCGAGGAGAGAAUGAGACAAGCGCAGAAAUCCCAGCAAAUCCUCGGAAAGACCGAUUCACCCUGAAACCAGCAGAUAAGCCAGAAGGUGGUUAAAGAAAGAACAGCUGCUGUCCAGAUAUUGUUUAUGGUGCUAAAAAAUAAAUGUGUAAAGGUCAGACCUUUACACAUUUAUUGUCAUUGAUUUUUAUGAAACAGAGGAACUAAAACAAACAAAAAACAAAACUAUAUUCAAUAUAAAUUAAAUCCACUAAAACUCCAUGAACACUGUUAUACUUUAUUGCUGCCUGGUGCCACUGCUUAGCCAGUGUCAUGUAAAUAUGUUGAGGAUACCAUGCGUUCUUAAAUAAGUAAAUGUGAUGUCUAUAUUUGCAGUAAUAAAAUCAAAAGAUUAAAAAUGCUUCAUGUGUUGGCUG